CGGCCGCGUCGACGCAAGUUGAGCGAUGAAGAUUGGUGCUUGCACCAAUUUGAAGAGCAGCGAACGGGUGAGUAACGCGUGGGGAAUCUGCCUUUGAGCGGGGGACAACAUUUGGAAACGAAUGCUAAUACCGCAUAAUAACUUUAAACAUAAGUUUUAAGUUUGAAAGAUGCAAUUGCAUCACUCAAAGAUGAUCCCGCGUUGUAUUAGCUAGUUGGUGAGGUAAAGGCUCACCAAGGCGAUGAUACAUAGCCGACCUGAGAGGGUGAUCGGCCACAUUGGGACUGAGACACGGCCCAAACUCCUACGGGAGGCAGCAGUAGGGAAUCUUCGGCAAUGGACGAAAGUCUGACCGAGCAACGCCGCGUGAGUGAAGAAGGUUUUCGGAUCGUAAAACUCUGUUGGUAGAGAAGAACGUUGGUGAAAGCAACCUGACGGUACCAGAGGAAUCAGCAUC
RNAcentral lists this ribosomal RNA (457 nucleotides) under uncultured Lactococcus sp. RNAcentral's name for it is "bacterial SSU rRNA". It matches the Rfam family "Bacterial small subunit ribosomal RNA", at positions 40 to 494 of the family's 1533-position model. Lineage: Bacteria; Bacillati; Bacillota; Bacilli; Lactobacillales; Streptococcaceae. The record is from RNAcentral.